RNAcentral lists this ribosomal RNA (420 nucleotides) under uncultured bacterium. RNAcentral's name for it is "bacterial SSU rRNA". It matches the Rfam family "Bacterial small subunit ribosomal RNA", at positions 356 to 774 of the family's 1533-position model. The record is from RNAcentral.
AAGGAAUAUUGGUCAAUGGACGCAAGUCUGAACCAGCCAUGCCGCGUGAAGGAUGAAGGUCCUCUGGAUUGUAAACUUCUUUUAUCUGGGACGAAAACGGGAUUUUUAUCUCAAUUGACGGUACCAGAGGAAUAAGCACCGGCUAACUCCGUGCCAGCAGCCGCGGUAAUACGGAGGGUGCGAGCGUUAUCCGGAUUUACUGGGUUUAAAGGGUGCGUAGGUGGGCUUAUAAGUCAGUGGUGAAAUCUCCGAGCUUAACUUGGAAACUGCCGUUGAUACUAUAUGUCUUGAAUUAUCUGGAGGUAAGCGGAAUAUGUCAUGUAGCGGUGAAAUGCUUAGAUAUGACAUAGAACACCAAUUGCGAAGGCAGCUUACUACAUAUAAAUUGACGCUGAGGCACGAAAGCGUGGGGAUCAAACA